AUAAUUUACCAAGAGAAAAAUCAAAUGUAAAGACAUUUUUGUAUUUAUAAUAAAAAUGCAUGUUGGCCCUGCUUUGUAUUUGACCCUUUAACAAUAUUUUCUCCUGGGAACAGCUUCCCUUUUGCUAAUGAAGACAGUGAAUAAAGAAAGAGUAAAGGAUUGUCCAUAGUAAUACUGCCAGACAUGGCAACCAGUUUGCUCUGAUGGAGUGCAUCUGUAAAUUUGGAAUAGGAAGGCUAUAAUAGACAGACAGCCUUCUGGGUUAGAAAUAACUAUUUGAGAGGAAUUGAUGAUGCAUAGCAUUACAAACAAAGGUCCAAGUCCAGUAUUUUUAUAUGUUGGGAAAUUGCCGUGGAUGAUAAUAUAUUUUCUUAUUCACUAAAACAUCUUAAAAAGUGAAGUACUGCAAGGUAUCUUCCAUUUCUAUGCUCUAGGUCUGUCUAUUAGCUAAAGUGCACUUUCCCAUUAGUAUCAUGAGCUGCUCCUUGAGUCCUCUGUAUAUCCAACAAAAGUUUCUUGUGUGGCGAUUACAACCAGUUUUCUUUUCCUUUACUUUCUUUUAUUUAGAAAACUUCAAAAUCAGUGAUUAACUCUUUGGUUACCUCAGAAACAAUGAUCCUAAUUAGUUAAUAUACACAUAUUUUUCCUUAUAUAAAUAUUUUCUUCAACAGUUUUGUUCUUUUUGAAACUCAAGGUGCUUGUAAAUCACUCAAAAGAUUCAAAGCCUUGAGUUUUAUGAGGGUUGCUGGGGUAUGUAAAUUAUUCGUUACCUUCCAUUUGUCAGAAAUUUACCUGUCCACUUUUUCUGUAAGAAUUGUAGAGGGGUUAGGGGUGCAGCUUAUGGUUAAGCAGUUGCCUGGUAUGUGUGAGGCCUGGGUUUGGGUCCCCAGCAUGGUCCUCUCCCACUCAAUGAACAAGUUUAGAAGGUAAAUCUGCCUUUAUUAGGAGUGAUGAAGUACGAGUAGUUCCUUAGAUU
RNAcentral lists this long non-coding RNA (976 nucleotides) under Marmota monax (woodchuck). Lineage: Eukaryota; Metazoa; Chordata; Mammalia; Rodentia; Sciuridae. The record is from RNAcentral.